This 118-nucleotide ribosomal RNA is filed under the name Chrysemys picta bellii (western painted turtle). The record is from RNAcentral. Lineage: Eukaryota; Metazoa; Chordata; Testudines; Emydidae.
GCCUGUAGCUAUACCACCUCAGGCUGUGAGCUUGCCUGGUCUCACAAGCUAAACAAGACUGGGCCUGCUUGGUAUUUGGAUAGGAGACCUCCCAGGAAAACUCAAGAUGCUGCAGAAA